Molecule: long non-coding RNA, 835 nt
Filed under: Penaeus japonicus
Lineage: Eukaryota; Metazoa; Arthropoda; Malacostraca; Decapoda; Penaeidae
Description: uncharacterized LOC122263200
Source: RNAcentral
AGAGAGAGACAGAGAGAGAGAGAGAGAGAGAGAGAAUAAAAAAGAAAUAUAAAGGCAUCCAUCGUUCCCCCCACAGAGAAGCUUCGAGCCAUGCCUCCGAAUCCUUGUUCUGGCAAGGUGUGCCCACCCAAAGCCUGGCUGACGGAUGAACGCGAGGAGUUCUUGGUCGCCACCGUAAAGGGACUCACCAACACCCUUCUUCGCCGCCAAGCCACACGCCUUCCGGCUCAACCUGACAACAGCAGCAAAGCAACACUGCCAUCGCUCUUCACGGUUGUGGUUCUUCUUCUGCUAGGACGGUUCUACCAGUAGUUCGCAGGCAUAGAGCCCCGACACCUGCGAGUUCCUUGUAGUCUCUUGUCUUAGGCUGAUUGUCAUGCAGUCGACAAGGUUGGAGGUUUGUAUGGGACUGCACAUGGUCAAGUCAUCAGUCAUGCAAUAUCAAUUGUUGUUUCUUUGGAUUAUGAGAACAACGCUAUUUCGUUAUAGUGUUACCGCUCUCAUGGCAAUUUUUUUUCUGGAUAGUUAUAGAAUAUACUCUGUGUAGUAGGUGUAUAAUUGUAAUUAUAAAUCAGGGUACAGACCAUAACUGAUUACUGUAAAUAUCAAAAACAACUGAAACAUGAUACAUGUGGUGAUGAUAACAAACAAGGGAAUGUAGAAUCUAAGUUGCUUAUCUUAUUCGCUCAUAAUUCUCUUAGUAUGUGGGAACAUCUAUUCAGAUUCCUGCUGGCCAAAACAAUUCAUCAGAGAAUCAUCAACUAUUGGAUUUUAAUAGAUGAUUGCUUUUCUUUCAAGCAUACUUGCUGUACACAAUAAACAAACUGUUUGAGUA